UUCCCCUAGUAACGGCGAGUGAAGAGGGAAAAGCCCAAAUUUGUAAUCUGGCUCUUUCAGAGUCCGAGUUGUAAUUUGUAGAACUGUUUUCUGUGCUGGACCAUUUCUAAGUCUGUUGGAAAACAGCAUCAUUGAGGGUGAUAAUCCCGUUCAUGAUAUGGACUACCAGGGCAAUAUGAGGCAGUUUCUAAGAGUCGAGUUGUUUGGGAAUGCAGCUCAAAGUGGGUGGUAAAUUCCAUCUAAGGCUAAAUAUAGGUGAGAGACCGAUAGCAUACAAGUACCGUGAGGGAAAGAUGAAAAGAACUUUGGAAAGAGAGUUAACAGUGCGUGAAAUUGUUGUAAAAGAAACAUUUGAAGUUAGCCUUGUGCGUGCCAGUUCAGCUCUUUGUUAGGGUGUAUUCUGGCAAUGUCACGGACCAAUGUCAGUUUUUGGGUGCUGGAUAAGGGUCCCGGAAAUGUGGCAGCCUUGGCUGUGUUAUAGUCCGGGAUUUGGAUACAGUGCCUAGGACUGAGGAA
This 516-nucleotide ribosomal RNA is filed under the name Xenodochus carbonarius. RNAcentral describes it as "partial large subunit ribosomal RNA". It matches the Rfam family "Eukaryotic large subunit ribosomal RNA", at positions 75 to 594 of the family's 3401-position model. Lineage: Eukaryota; Fungi; Basidiomycota; Pucciniomycetes; Pucciniales; Phragmidiaceae. The record is from RNAcentral.